Molecule: unclassified non-coding RNA, 22 nt
Filed under: Mus musculus (house mouse)
Lineage: Eukaryota; Metazoa; Chordata; Mammalia; Rodentia; Muridae
Description: oocyte_clustered_small_RNA7229
Source: RNAcentral
UUGUGGUUGGUACAGACUGUGU